This 467-nucleotide ribosomal RNA is filed under the name uncultured bacterium. RNAcentral describes it as "bacterial SSU rRNA". It matches the Rfam family "Bacterial small subunit ribosomal RNA", at positions 28 to 524 of the family's 1533-position model. The record is from RNAcentral.
GACGAACGCUGGCGGCAUGCCUAACACAUGCAAGUCUAGGGGUAGCAAUACCACUGGCGCACGGGUGAGUAACACGUAGGUUAUCUGCCCCCAUCACAGACAUAACCCCGGGAAACCGGGGCUAAUAUCUGAUGAGGUCGCGAGAUCAAAGCUUCGGCGGAUGGGGAUGAGCCUGCGGCUGAUUAGCUAGUUGGUGAGGUAAUGGCUCACCAAGGCGACGAUCAGUAGCUGGUCUGAGAGGACGAACAGCCACACUGGAACUGAGACACGGUCCAGACUCCUACGGGAGGCAGCAGUGAGGAAUAUUGGGUCAAUGGGAGCAAUCCUGAACCAGCAAUGCCGCGUGUGGGAUGACAGGGCUUCGCCUUGUAAACCACUGUCGGACGGGACGAAAGGAGGCCUCGGGCCUCUGGGACGGUACCGUCAAAGGAAGGGUCGGCUAACUACGUGCCAGCAGCCGCGGUAAU